This 492-nucleotide ribosomal RNA is filed under the name uncultured bacterium. Its description in RNAcentral is "partial 16S ribosomal RNA". It matches the Rfam family "Bacterial small subunit ribosomal RNA", at positions 29 to 507 of the family's 1533-position model. The record is from RNAcentral.
AGUGAACGCUGGCGGUAGGCCUAACACAUGCAAGUCGAACGGCAGCACAGUAAGAGCUUGCUCUUACGGGUGGCGAGUGGCGGACGGGUGAGGAAUACAUCGGAAUCUACUUUUUCGUGGGGGUUAACGUAGGGAAACUUACGCUAAUACCGCAUACGACCUACGGGUGAAAGCAUGGGAUCUUCGGACCUUGCGCGAUUGAAUGAGCCGAUGUCGGAUUAGCUAGUUGGCGGGGUAAAGGCCCACCAAAGCGACGAUCCGUAGCUGGUCUGAGAGGAUGAUCAGCCACACUGGAACUGAGACACGGUCCAGACUCCUACGGGAGGCAGCAGUGGGGAAUAUUGGACAAUGGGCGCAAGCCUGAUCCAGCCAUACCGCGUGGGUGAAGAAGGCCUUCGGGUUGUAAAGCCCUUUUGUUGGGAAAGAAAAGCAGCAGGUUAAUACCCCGCUGUUCUGACGGUACCCAAAGAAUAAGCACCGGCUAACUUCGUG